UCCCUGGUGGUCCAGUGGUUAAAACUCCACACUUCCACUGUGGAGUUCCUGGGUUCGAUGCCUGGAUAGGAAA
This 73-nucleotide transfer RNA is filed under the name Bos taurus (domestic cattle). It matches the Rfam family "tRNA". From Rfam's summary of the family: Transfer RNA (tRNA) molecules are approximately 80 nucleotides in length. Their secondary structure includes four short double-helical elements and three loops (D, anti-codon, and T loops). RNAcentral also lists the same sequence under 4 other names. Lineage: Eukaryota; Metazoa; Chordata; Mammalia; Artiodactyla; Bovidae. The record is from Rfam by way of RNAcentral.